AGAAUGAAAGAACAGGAGAGAGGUUAAAGAAACUAAUCUAGGCAUGGUGGACAUGAUGAUACAGCGCCAUGUGCAAUUUUGAAAAGUAUGGAUAGUUUUAGCUUUCUCCAACACCCAGUCCACCAGAGGAGCUUAGAGAUUCUGCAGAGAUGCAAGGAAGAGAAGUACAGUAUAACCCGGAAAAAUCCCAGAACACCUCUUUCUGAUCUCCAGGGCAUGAAUGCUCUAAAUGAAAAAAACCAACAUGAUACAUUUGAUAUUGCCUGGAAUGGCAGAACUGGGAUUCGCCAGAGCAGACUAUCAAGUGGCACCUCCUUGCUUGAUAAAGAUGGAAUAUUUGCUAAUUCAACUAGCAGCAAACUCCUGGAGAGAGCCCAUGGAAUUCUCACGAGAAACAAAAAUUUCAAAUCCAAGCCUGCCCUUCCAAAGGCAUCAUUAAGCAAGCUAAUGGAAACACUUGGUCAAGCAGAACCAUAUUUUGUAAAAUGCAUUCGCUCUAAUGCUGAAAAGCUGCCCUUAAGGUUCAAUGAUGUCUUGGU
This 539-nucleotide small RNA is filed under the name Pan troglodytes (chimpanzee). RNAcentral describes it as "processed transcript". Lineage: Eukaryota; Metazoa; Chordata; Mammalia; Primates; Hominidae. The record is from RNAcentral.